Molecule: ribosomal RNA, 541 nt
Filed under: uncultured bacterium
Lineage: Bacteria
Description: partial 16S ribosomal RNA
Rfam family: Bacterial small subunit ribosomal RNA
Source: RNAcentral
UGGGGAAUAUUGCACAAUGGGCGAAAGCCUGAUGCAGCAACGCCGCGUGCGGGAUGACGGCCUUCGGGUUGUAAACCGCUUUCAGCAGGGACGAAGGUUUUCUGACGGUACCUGCAGAAGAAGCACCGGCUAACUACGUGCCAGCAGCCGCGGUGAUACGUAGGGUGCGAGCGUUGUCCGGAAUUAUUGGGCGUAAAGAGCUUGUAGGCGGUCCGUUGCGUCGGAAGUGAAAACUCAGGGCUUAACCCUGAGCCUGCUUUCGAUACGGGCGGACUUGAGGGAUGUAGGGGAGAACGGAAUUCCUGGUGGAGCGGUGGAAUGCGCAGAUAUCAGGAGGAACACCAGUGGCGAAGGCGGUUCUCUGGACAUUUCCUGACGCUGAGAAGCGAAAGCGUGGGGAGCAAACAGGCUUAGAUACCCUGGUAGUCCACGCCGUAAACGGUGGGCACUAGGUGUGGGACCCAUUCCACGGGUUCCGUGCCGUAGCUAACGCAUUAAGUGCCCCGCCUGGGGAGUACGGCCGCAAGGCUAAAACCUCAAA